ACGUAGGUGGCGAGCGUUGUCCGGAAUUAUUGGGCGUAAAGAGCGCGUAGGCGGCUUGCCAGGUCCGACGUGAAACCCCGGGGCUCAACUCCGGACGUGCAUCGGAAACCGGCUUGCUAGAGUCUGGGAGAGGGGAGUGGAAUUCCUGGUGUAGCGGUGAAAUGCGCAGAUAUCAGGAGGAACACCGGUAGCGAAGGCUGCUCCCUGGAACAGUACUGACGCUGAGGCGCGAAAGCUAGGGGAGCGAACAG
This 251-nucleotide ribosomal RNA is filed under the name uncultured prokaryote. RNAcentral's name for it is "partial 16S rRNA". It matches the Rfam family "Bacterial small subunit ribosomal RNA", at positions 525 to 775 of the family's 1533-position model. The record is from RNAcentral.